This 194-nucleotide ribosomal RNA is filed under the name uncultured bacterium. Its description in RNAcentral is "partial 16S rRNA". It matches the Rfam family "Bacterial small subunit ribosomal RNA", at positions 338 to 524 of the family's 1533-position model. The record is from RNAcentral.
CCUACGGGAGGCAGCAGUAGGGAAUCUUCCGCAAUGGACGAAAGUCUGAAGGCAGCACGCCGCGUGAGUGAUGAAGGUUUUCGGAUCGUAAAGCUCUGUUGCCAGGGAAGAAUGCUUGGGAGAGUAACUGCUCCCAAGGUGACGGUUCCUGAGAAGAAGCCCCGGCUUACUACUAUGCCAGCAGCCGCGGUAAU